Molecule: ribosomal RNA, 451 nt
Filed under: uncultured bacterium
Lineage: Bacteria
Description: bacterial SSU rRNA
Rfam family: Bacterial small subunit ribosomal RNA
Source: RNAcentral
GAUGAACGCUGGCGGCGUGCCUAACACAUGCAAGUCGAACGAAGCGAUUUAACGGAAGUUUUCGGAUGGAAGUUGGAUUGACUGAGUGGCGGACGGGUGAGUAACGCGUGGGUAACCUGCCUUGUACUGGGGGACAACAGUUAGAAGUGACUGCUAAUACCGCAUAAGCGCACAGUAUCGCAUGAUACAGUGUGAAAAAACUCCGGUGGUACAAGAUGGACCCGCGUCUGAUUAGCUAGUUGGUAAGGUAACGGCUUACCAAGGCGACGAUCAGUAGCCGACCUGAGAGGGUGACCGGCCACAUUGGGACUGAGACACGGCCCAAACUCCUACGGGAGCAGCAGGUGGGGAAUAUUGCACAAUGGGACAAAGCCUGACGCAGCGACGCCGCGUGAGUGAAGAGUAUUUCGGUAUGUAAAGCUCUAUCAGCAGGGAAGAAAAUGACGGUACC